AUUUAAGUAGUUUAUUAAAAUAUGGGCUUGUGGUGCCUAAGAUACAGGAUUUGUCUUAAAUA
This 62-nucleotide transfer RNA is filed under the name Smaragdina concolor. RNAcentral's name for it is "tRNA-His". It matches the Rfam family "tRNA". Rfam says of the family: Transfer RNA (tRNA) molecules are approximately 80 nucleotides in length. Their secondary structure includes four short double-helical elements and three loops (D, anti-codon, and T loops). The record is from RNAcentral. Lineage: Eukaryota; Metazoa; Arthropoda; Insecta; Coleoptera; Chrysomelidae.